GAUGAACGCUGGCGGCGUGCCUAAUACAUGCCAGUCGAGCGAACAGACGAGGAGCUUGCUCCUCUGACGUUAGCGGCGGACGGGUGAGUAACACGUGGAUAACCUACCUAUAAGACUGGGAUAACUUCGGGAAACCGGAGCUAAUACCGGAUAAUAUAUUGAACCGCAUGGUUCAAUAGUGAAAGACGGUUUUGCUGUCACUUAUAGAUGGAUCCGCGCCGCAUUAGCUAGUUGGUAAGGUAACGGCUUACCAAGGCAACGAUGCGUAGCCGACCUGAGAGGGUGAUCGGCCACACUGGAACUGAGACACGGUCCAGACUCCUACGGGAGGCAGCAGUAGGGAAUCUUCCGCAAUGGGCGAAAGCCUGACGGAGCAACGCCGCGUGGGUGAUGAAGGUCUUCGGAUCGUAAAACUCUGUUAUUAGGGAAGAACAAAUGUGUAAGUAACUAUGCACGUCUUGACGGUACCUAAUCAGAAAGCCACGGCUAACUACGUG
Molecule: ribosomal RNA, 497 nt
Filed under: uncultured bacterium
Lineage: Bacteria
Description: partial 16S ribosomal RNA
Rfam family: Bacterial small subunit ribosomal RNA
Source: RNAcentral